Molecule: RNase P RNA, 336 nt
Filed under: marine eukaryotic metagenome
Description: Bacterial RNase P class A
Rfam family: Bacterial RNase P class A
About the family: Ribonuclease P (RNase P) is a ubiquitous endoribonuclease, found in archaea, bacteria and eukarya as well as chloroplasts and mitochondria.
Source: RNAcentral
AGUUGACUAGGCAAUCGCUGUUAUCAAAUGGUAGCAGAGGAAAGUCCGGGCUCCAUAGGGCAGAGUGCCAGGUAACGCCUGGGGGACGUGAGUCCACGGAAAGUGCAGCAGAAAAUAUACCGCCGACUUUGUCGGUAAGGGUGAAAUGGUGCGGUAAGAGCGCACCGCGCGGUCGGUAACGAGCGUGGCAAUGUAAACCCCACUCGGAGCAAAACCAAAUAGGAAUCUGUGGUUGCGGCCCGCAAUUGGAUUCGGGUAGGUUGCUUCAGGUACAUGGCGACAUGUAUCGCAGAUGAAUGAUUGUCCACGACAGAACCCGGCUUAUCGGUCAACUCU